CCCGCCGCCACCACGAAAUGCCAAGCAGCACAAACGGCAACAUCGCUACUGCCGUUUUGCUCAGCAGCGCCGAUGCAAAGGUUCCCACGCUGAGCCAGUACCAUCGUCGCUGACUCUCGUCUUCAAAUCGCAGAUACAACAGCAGCGUCAAAGCAUAGAAAAACAUCGCGAGCGUAUUCUUCCGCUCCGCAAUCCAUGCUACAGACUGCACGUUCACAGGAUGCACAGCGAAAAUCGCGGCCGCCAGCCAAGCC
Molecule: unclassified non-coding RNA, 254 nt
Filed under: uncultured bacterium
Lineage: Bacteria
Description: contains 16S-23S intergenic spacer region
Source: RNAcentral